GAAAUGAGAAGACAACACAGGGUACAAGCACAGGUAACCAAGCCUAUAGCUCAUUUAAUCCAGGAUUGGCAAACUUUAAAAACAGAUGCUAAUUCACCGUCCUUGGAGUAAGGAAAAUGUCAGUCAGUAUUUUCCUUAAGAGAUGGGAGAGGGAUACAUAGGCAUCUGUUACACUUUAUGCCCGUGUUCUUCAGAUCAGAUGAAAGGAUCGCGUUCAUGAAGACAUCCGAGUUGGUCGCCUAAGACUCGUUACCUUUCCCUACAAAUCCCGCUUCGCAGUAUUUCUCGAGCUCGCUGAAGUAUUACAAGCAAGUUAAACUCCCUGUAGUAUAUGACCCCUUAACCUUUGGUGUGAAGCUAUUAUCUUAGGCAUGCUACGAAGUUAUUUCUGUAAGUGAAGUAGCACUCUGCCUUACAGUUAAGUAUGCUGUAUCAGCCUAAUUUCAUGUUAUGCCAGAAACAGUAGCGACAUUCCAUAUCAUCCAAGCUUUAUUUAGAAAGUUACUUUCAACUUUUCAAUCUGCUUUAAAGAUAAGAAACCUAGAUCCACAAUUUUGUAUGGUGCCCUGCAAUUACUCCCAGAGGCAUUUACAAACACAAAUGCAUCCAGAAGUUCAAAGCCCCUCUAUUUCAGUCUGGCUCUAGCCUUUUGCAUUUUCUGUGGGUGGAUCCUCAGCCACAUGUGGUUUGCAGCAGCACGUGGAUUUCUUGGUUGCUUAAAGCCGGCUUCCCGGAGGAAGACCACUUCAACUGCCUCCACAAAGGCUUGUGCUUCAAAUGAAAAUUCUAAAUCAAUGUAUACAUUUCACUACUGUUUAUUCUACCAAAAACUCAAUGUAAGUGCAAGCCAUAUACA
This is a non-coding RNA of Struthio camelus australis, 856 nucleotides long. Lineage: Eukaryota; Metazoa; Chordata; Aves; Struthioniformes; Struthionidae. The record is from RefSeq and is a predicted model, not a curated record.